Aspergillus campestris IBT 28561 is the source of this 107-nucleotide non-coding RNA. The record is from the annotation of a RefSeq genome assembly. Lineage: Eukaryota; Fungi; Ascomycota; Eurotiomycetes; Eurotiales; Aspergillaceae.
GGGGUGAUGGCGCAGCUGGGAGCGCGUUAGACUGAAGAACUAAACUUCAGUUUCCGACUUGUAUCGGGGUUAUCUAAAGGUCACCGGUUCGAUCCCGGUUCAUCCCA